AGAGAUCUGGAGGAAUACCGGUGGCGAAGGCGGCCCCCUGGMCAAAGAMUGACGCUCAGGUGYGAAAGAGGGGGGAGCAAACAGGAUUAGAUACCCUGGUAGUCCWCGCUGUAAACGAUGUCGAUUUGGAGGUKGUGCCCUUGAGRMRUGGCUUCCGGAGYUAACGCGUUAAAUCGACCGCCUGGGGAGUACGGCCGCAAGGUUAAAACUCAAAUGAAUUGACGGGGGCCCGCACAAGCGGUGGAGCAUGUGGUUUAAUUCGAUGCAACGCGAAGAACCUUACCUACUCUUGACAUCCAGAGAACUUUCCAGAGAUGGAUUGGUGCCUUCGGGAACUCUGAGACAGGUGCUGCAUGGCUGUCGUCAGCUCGUGUUGUGAAAUGUUGGGUUAAGUCCCGCAACGAGCGCAACCCUUAUCCUUUGUUGCCAGCGAUUCGGUCGGGAACUCAAAGGAGACUGCCGGUGAUAAACCGGAGGAAGGUGGGGAUGACGUCAAGUCAUCAUGGCCCUUACGAGUAGGGCUACACACGUGCUACAAUGGCGUAUACAAAGAGAAGYGAACUCGCGAGAGCAAGCGGACCUCAUAAAGUACGUCGUAGUCCGGAUUGGAGUCUGCAACUCGACURCAUGAGCAGUGGCA
This 640-nucleotide ribosomal RNA is filed under the name Serratia sp. (in: enterobacteria). Its description in RNAcentral is "bacterial SSU rRNA". Lineage: Bacteria; Pseudomonadati; Pseudomonadota; Gammaproteobacteria; Enterobacterales; Yersiniaceae. The record is from RNAcentral.